ACGAAUUCGCCCUUUUCCGGUUGAUCCUGCCGGACCCCACUGCUAUCUGGAUAGGACUAAGACACGCUAGUCGAGUGGCUCAGCCAAUACGAGCCACGGCAUACAGCUCAGUAACACGUGGCUAAUCUGCCCUUAGGACGAGAACAACCCCGGGAAACUGGGGCUAAUUCGCGAUAGGUGAAGUACUCUGGGAAUAAGUCUACACCUAAAAAGUUCAGCGUUAUGCUCGUUGACGCCUAAGGAUGAGGCCGCGACCGAUCAGGUUGUUGGUGAGGUAAUGGCUCACCAAGCCUUUUACCGGUGCGGGCCGUGAGAGCGGGAGCCCGGAGAUGGGCACUGAGACAAGGGCCCAGGCCCUACGGGGCGCAGCAGUCGCGAAAACUUUGCAAUACACGAAAGUGUGACAGGGGCUAUCCCGAGUGCCAUCCGCUGAGGAAGGCUUUUACCCAGUCUAGAACGCUGGGGGAUAAGGAGAGGGCAAGUCUGGUGUCAGCCGCCGCAGUAAUACCAGCUUCUCCGAGUGGUGUGGAUGUUUAUUGGGCCUAAAGCAUCCGUAGCUGGCUAAGUUAGUCUUUUGUUAAAUCCACCGAAUUAAUCGUUGGAUCGCGGGGGAUACUGCUUGGCUAGGGGACGAGAGAGGCAGACGGUAUUUCCGGGGUAGGGGUGAAAUCCUAUAAUCCCGGGAAGACCACCACCCCCGGGGGAGAGCUGUCUGCUAGAACGCGCCCGACGGUGAGGGAUGAAAGCUGGGGGAGCGAACCGGAUUAGAUACCCGGGUAGUCCCAGCUGUAAACGAUGCAAACUAGGUGUUUGAACGGCCACGUGCCGUUCUAGUGCCGCAGGGAAGCUGUUAAGUUUGCCGCCUGGGGAGUACGAUCGCAAGAUUGAAACUUAAAGGAAUUGGCGGGAAGGGCGAAUCGC
RNAcentral lists this ribosomal RNA (921 nucleotides) under uncultured archaeon. Its description in RNAcentral is "bacterial SSU rRNA". It matches the Rfam family "Archaeal small subunit ribosomal RNA", at positions 1 to 887 of the family's 1478-position model. The record is from RNAcentral.